Molecule: long non-coding RNA, 970 nt
Filed under: Fukomys damarensis (Damara mole-rat)
Lineage: Eukaryota; Metazoa; Chordata; Mammalia; Rodentia; Bathyergidae
Description: lncRNA (ENSFDAG00000027251.1)
Source: RNAcentral
GGAGUAGGAGCCCCCAGACGCCUCCCGGAAUCGACGUCCCGGGUGCGUGCUAGAGGUGGGGCCCGGGCCGGGCGGGUCGAGGCGGGGCGCCCUGUGUGUGCUUUUGUUUCGGUUGGGUGUCGGAACAGCCACGCCCUCGAGAAGGCCGGCUUUGGAAGCGCUGAUUCCCACCGCGAGGUUCCCAGUGCGGUUAGGGCUUGUCCUGGGCUGCAGAGCUGGGCGCUGGCUAGCUCGGCCUGCAUUGCCUUUCAGUGUCCAACUGUUGGCCUGAGACCAGCAGCCCGGGCCCAUCCCUUCCCAUCCGGCCUCGUCAAGCCCUAGGGAGCAGGGUAGGGAAGCCCAGAAUCACUGGAACGUAUGUCUCAGUUGGCCACUGAUCUGCCCACCCUCCUGGAAUAUGAGCAGGAACAGAGCAGUGGGCAGCAUCCCAGAGGAAAGAACUUAGCAGGCCUGACAACCCAGUGGAUAGAGGAACAAAAGCCCGGGAGCGGGAUGGUCCCCGCAGAAGCCGAGACGGAGAAAGGACUGGCUUAGGGGGAAGAGAAUUAAUUCUGUUUUGGACAUAGUGUGCGGCUCAGCAGUCCCAGUCCACGCAUAAACCCCCAGGAGAUUCUUGGACCUGUGUAAGGGGACACAGUGGGAGAACGUUAAGGGAGAGAUCGUUCACGAUCACAACAGCGGGAAAUGCCCAUGACCAGAAAGGUAAGGAAAUUCUGAGCAGCGCGGCGCACAAGUGUACGGAGGAAAGCACGGCUCCAAGAGCGGCGGGCAGAGUGAGCCAGUCACCCCUCCGGUUCCACUCUCUCUUCCUCGAGCAAGAGCUCAGAUUUGGAGCUAAGCAAUUGGCUUCAGUUGAAUCAUUAUAGUGAUUACGAUUUGGCCAGGGACAGAUACCCUGAAAUGUUGUAGGUCACUUGAGAUACCUCUCCUGAAAGGCCGGAGCCUACCUUCUUGACUCUUCUUCCUGCUC